This 440-nucleotide ribosomal RNA is filed under the name uncultured bacterium. RNAcentral's name for it is "partial 16S ribosomal RNA". It matches the Rfam family "Bacterial small subunit ribosomal RNA", at positions 338 to 795 of the family's 1533-position model. The record is from RNAcentral.
CCUACGGGAGGCAGCAGUCGGGAAUAUUGCGCAAUGGAGGAAACUCUGACGCAGUGACGCCGCGUGCAGGAAGAAGGUUUUCGGAUUGUAAACUGCUAUCGACAGGGAAGAAAAAAGACAGUACCUGUAGAGUAAGCUCCGGCUAACUACGUGCCAGCAGCCGCGGUAAUACGUGGGGAGCAAGCGUUAUCCGGAUUACUUGGGGUUAAAGGGUGCGUAGGCGGGCUGUUAAGUCCGCGGUAAAAGCCCGGGGGUCACCCCGGGCGAGCCGUUGAAACUGGCUGGCUUGAGAUGUCGAGAGGUAUGCGGAAUGCGCAGUGUAGCGGUGAAAUGCUUAGAUAUUGCGCAGAACUCCGAUGGCGAAGGCAGCAUACCGGCGGCGAUCUGACGCUGAGGCACGAAAGCGUGGGUAUCGAACAGGAGUAGAUACCCCAGUAGUC